Molecule: ribosomal RNA, 120 nt
Filed under: Mesocricetus auratus (golden hamster)
Lineage: Eukaryota; Metazoa; Chordata; Mammalia; Rodentia; Cricetidae
Source: RNAcentral
AUUUACUGCUAUACCAUCCUGAAUGUUGAAGACCUCAUCUGAUCCCAGAAGCUAAGCAGGGUCAGCUUCGGUUAGUACUUGGAUGGGAGACACAGUGCAGGCUGGAGGAUAUAAUAAUUG